GUUCUAUAGAUUUUAAUUUUAGGUCUAACCUGCUCUAUGAUUUAUUUUAAAUUAAAUGGCUGCGGUAUUUUAACUGUACUAAGGUAGCAUAAUCAUUUGUCUUUUAAUUGGAGGCUAGAAUGAAUGGUUGGAUGAAAUACUAACUUUUUUGUAUUAAUAUUUUGAAUUUUAUUUUUUAGUUAAAAAGCUUAAAUUUUUUUAUGGGACGAGAAGACCCUAUAGAAUUUAAUUAUUGUUAAUUAAUUGUGUUUAUUUAUUUUAUAUAAUCAGUUAUUUUUAUAUAAUUUUGUUGGGGUGAUAGAAAAAUUUAUUUAACUUUUUUUUUGUUUUUCAUAAAUUAUUGUUUUUUUGAUCCUAAAUUUUGGAUUAUAAGAUUAAAUUACCUUAGGGAUAACAGCGUUAUUUUUUUGGAGAGUUCUUAUUGAUAAAAAAGUUUGCGA
This 440-nucleotide ribosomal RNA is filed under the name Phrynovelia caledonica. Its description in RNAcentral is "partial 16S ribosomal RNA". The record is from RNAcentral. Lineage: Eukaryota; Metazoa; Arthropoda; Insecta; Hemiptera; Mesoveliidae.